Long non-coding RNA from Gadus morhua (Atlantic cod), 468 nucleotides. RefSeq lists it as uncharacterized. NCBI's taxonomy places the organism in Eukaryota, Metazoa, Chordata, Actinopteri, Gadiformes, Gadidae. The transcript has 3 exons. The record is from RefSeq and is a predicted model, not a curated record.
UUCAUGGCAAGAACUUGGAUGAAAUUGGGAUAGGUCCAGAUGAAAAGGUUUUUGAAAGUGAAGAUGAAAGCCCACAGGAGGCACACUGUUCAUCUACUGCUGAUGCAGAAGAGACUCUUCCUCACAUCGAGAGCCCUGAAAUUCCACCAACCAAGAAGCGAAGACAACGGCCGUUGGUUGAAAUGCCGGAAGAAGUCGGCGCUAUGAGGCCUUCCUCACAAGGUGAACUCUUUACACAUGUCUUUUGUACGUCAGUAAAGAUUGUCUGUUCCUCUUUGGAAAUGGAUUUUAUUCAGUUUACCAAUUUAAAGUUGUAUCAGUUAUAACAGCCCUAUCAGAAUAUACAAAGGUUGGGGGAUGAAUUGUCAUUAGUUUAUUUUCAAUGCAUAUGCCUAUAAUGGGGGGAUUUAUGCAAUAUCUGUUUGGAAAUUGAAAGCUAAGAUGAUGCAUAUUAGCUUUCAAUUGGCU